ACUCAGGAAGAUUUGAAUUCAAAUCUGGCCUCAGAAGUGUACUAGCUGUGUGUCCCUGGGCAAGUCACUUAACCUACAUCUGUUUCAGUUUCUUCAACUGUAAAAUAGGGAUAAUAGUACCUACUUCUUAAGAGUUGUGAGGAUCAAAU
RNAcentral lists this small nucleolar RNA (149 nucleotides) under Notamacropus eugenii (tammar wallaby). RNAcentral's name for it is "Small nucleolar RNA ACA59 (ENSMEUG00000018008.1)". The record is from RNAcentral. Lineage: Eukaryota; Metazoa; Chordata; Mammalia; Diprotodontia; Macropodidae.